RNAcentral lists this ribosomal RNA (253 nucleotides) under uncultured bacterium. RNAcentral's name for it is "partial 16S ribosomal RNA". It matches the Rfam family "Bacterial small subunit ribosomal RNA", at positions 524 to 776 of the family's 1533-position model. The record is from RNAcentral.
UACGGAGAGUGCAAACGUUGUUCGGAUUCACUGGGCGUAAAGGGCACGUAGGCGGCUCGGCAAAUCGGUCGUGGAAUCCCGACGCUUACCGUCGGAACGGCGGCCGAAAAUACCGGGCUCGAGGGCGUGAGGGGUCACUGGAACUCCUGGUGAAGCGGUGAAAUGCGUAGAUAUCAGGAGGAACGCCGGAGGCGAAAGCGAGUGACUGGCGCGUUCCUGACGCUGAGGCACGAAAGCGUGGGGAGCAAACAGG